AGCAGUUCUCAGGUGAUGCACCCCAGAAUCAAGCUCCCUCCUCUCUAGUUCCGGGUGCAUCACCCGAGAACCGCA
Myotis lucifugus (little brown bat) is the source of this 75-nucleotide non-coding RNA. The record is from Rfam. Lineage: Eukaryota; Metazoa; Chordata; Mammalia; Chiroptera; Vespertilionidae.